GAUCCUGGCUCAGGAUGAACGCUGGCGGCGUGCUUAACACAUGCAAGUCGAACGGACUUUACAUGAAGCCUAGCGAUUGUAAAGUUAGUGGCGGACGGGUGAGUAACGCGUAUCCAACCUGCCCACCACUUGGGGAUAACCUUGCGAAAGUAAGACUAAUACCCAAUGACAUCCCACGAAGACAUCUGAAUGGGAUUAAAGAUUUAUCGGUGAUGGAUGGGGAUGCGUCUGAUUAGCUUGUUGG
Molecule: ribosomal RNA, 244 nt
Filed under: uncultured bacterium
Lineage: Bacteria
Description: partial 16S ribosomal RNA
Rfam family: Bacterial small subunit ribosomal RNA
Source: RNAcentral